CAUAAGGUAGUUCAAUUAGAAUACUAGCAUUGGAAGUUAGAGAUUAAGGCUAAUACUUACCUUUUGA
This 67-nucleotide transfer RNA is filed under the name Mastigoteuthis agassizii. RNAcentral describes it as "tRNA-Pro". The record is from RNAcentral. Lineage: Eukaryota; Metazoa; Mollusca; Cephalopoda; Oegopsida; Mastigoteuthidae.